AAUUUACUAAUUGUCACCCCUCGGACAUAAUUGUCCGAUGACACCAGACGGCGCUGUCAUUUCCGUAAAUUUUGGAAGUUUCUUAUUUUGAACAAUAAUGAUGUUAAACGUCUAUUUUACCCUUGUGAUGUGUUUAACCCUUUUCCAUACAGGGCUAUGUAUAGAUUGUCACCAGUGUGCAUCAAAGGAUGACGGUUCAAUUCCACCAUUUUGUUCAGACCCCUAUGAUGGAGAUGAGAUGGCUGACAAUAUAGACGGCUGUGAUGACAAAGACACACACUGUCUGAAGAGCAAAGUGGUCCUUUACCUGAAUGAUGCUGGCUUUAUUCUUGGGUCCCCCAGAGAAUCAGUGGCUGUAACGAGAGGUUGUAUACGUGCUGAUAACGAAGGUGACCAUUGCAAAUACAUAGAAGCUGAUUCUGGCUUCUUUUUCUGGUGUAUCUGCUCGGAGGAUGGCUGUAAUGGUGCCAGGGGCAUCGUCUCCAGUCUGACCUUGACAUUAACGUUUGCAGUGAUUGGUCACUUAAUACGCAGAAUAUUGUGAAGCGGUGUGAGAAGCACCUGUAUAUAUACACACAAGUUUGCAUUAACUAUAGAUAUGAAGAGAUGCUACCAUUUUUUUAACGUUUCCAGUUAAUUUUAGAUAUUUUUGUUUUUUUAUAUAGCUAUAUAAUAGCAAGGAACAAAGUAUCCUGCAUGGAUUCAUGUAAUUGUAGUACUAAAAGUAUUCAGUUUUUCGACAAGAAAAUUAAUAUCCAGGAUGUUUUUAACAUUCUAAUUUCAGUUUCUGAAUAAAGCAUCUGGGAUAAUUUGAACCUUGCUGGGACUGCAAUACCUUGAACUAAAUAAGUGCCUAGAAAUGUAUAAAUUAUGUACACUAUUCUAGAACCGAAUGUAUUGUUUUUGUAUUUUAGGCUGUAUACAUAGAGAACAACAGUGCUAUAAGUGUAUACCUGAAACAGUAAUCAUUCAUAUUUCAUACUGUUUUCUUGACAUUCUGCUUUAAUAUGAAAAUGAUACAUAUAUAUGUAAAACAUUGCUUACUAGAAUUGUAAAUACCAUGUAUAGUUUUGUAGAGUAUGGGCAGUUUUAAAAAUUAUACUUUAAAGCUGUAAGAACUUAGACACAGGUGUCCAAUAAUCAACAGUUUUAUAUAAUGAUGAGGUGAAUGUCACCUUGGUCUGGUCUGUAGACUUAGAUAUUCAACAAUACAUUCAAUUUUUACACAUUAUCAGUUUGCAUUCGAUAAAUAUGAAGUGAGCUGAUGAUUUUGAACAAGUUUAAUUCUGUUUCCAAUGUUUCAAAAUUUCCUGCGAUGGCUAUCAUCACCGGAGCGAUGAUUACUUUCAUCGUAAAGAUUAUCAUUCUUAACCAGCAUAAUUAACACCGUUCUCUUCACUUUCUUCAAAUUUCGUCAAUCAUAUAAAGUUCUUAUUGAUAUUUUAGUUCACUAAUAGCUUCAUUAUGUUCCAGGAGACAAUGUAUGACACAAAAAGUAUUCUUGUAUUCAGAAAAUAUAGAAACUUGAACUAUGUGCACGAUUAUUUUUUCUCCAGAUUUAAAGUAGAAUUCAAAGCAGCAGAAGGAGCUUUAUUUUCACUGUAUACAAAUGUGAAGUAACAAGCAUGUUUUAUUGGGAUAAUGCAUGUUUUUUCAUGUUAUAACGUCUGCAAAAUCCUGAGGGAUUGGUUGGUGCACGAGCCUGUAGGGCGAGGGCACCAACGUAUCCCAAGGGAUUCUGAAGAUGUUAUAACAUGAAAUGAACAUGUGCUAACACUAUUCUUGCAUAAAACGCAAAAAAAAACCACUAAUAAAUGAAUACAUUUUCCCUCAGUGUCAUUAGAUUUCCCCGAAAUUUGCAGAAAUAUUUGUUGUUUUUUCAUGUUGACUUCAUUUUCAUUUGAAUGAUCCAUUUUGGGCUGUAAUACAUUUGCGCUUUGCCAUGGAAUGCACAAUAACAGCACAUGAACACGAGAAACUCUCCGUUAAAACAUGUUUUCUCUCUUGUUAAUACACCCCCAAAAAGUGACAGGAACAGCAGUUUUAUGCCAGAAUGUGUUUUUAAAGCUGUUAUACUGGUACUCUGAUCAGACUUCUUUUGCUUCUGUAUACUCGUAAUCACAGUUGUCAAUUUCCAAGCGAUUACAUAUUCUCACGUGUUAUUUUGGCAAUUUCCAAGCAAUAACGUAUUCUCACCUGUGAUUUCGGCAAUCUUAUUCUGUGACAGAAAGUUACUGUUUUUCAACAACCGGAGAAUAUGUAAUCGAUCAAAGUGUAGAUUGUUAUUACGUGUCCAAUGCCUUUAUGCAUAAAAUUUUAAUUUCUCUUCCAUCAUGUAUAUAUGUAAAUCUCUGCUCCUAUCACCAUAAAAUGUAUAUAUAUCUGUACACAUCAAACUUUGUAAAUAUUUUUUCUACAUUUUUAACAAUAGAGUCAUGACUUUUUUAUUCUGCUUUGUUAUAUAUAUAUAUUUAUGGAAAGUAUAUUGAUAAAAAGCAAUAUAGAAAAAAGCAAAAUGGUUGUAUAUUGUAUAGGUACUGCUGAACAUAUCAAGGUACAUUUUUUCUGUGAGAAUUUUAUACUGUUUGUAUAUAAGAAUUUUACAUUUUGAGCAUUUGCUACAUAUUUUUAUAACAUUUAUGGAAUUUUUAACCAGGUUUUCAACGAAAACCUGAGUUAUUAGAUUGGGGUAAAUGUCGGUCGGGCGGGCGGGCGGCGGCGGCGGCGGUGGCGGCGGUGGCGGCGGCGGCGUCAAACUGGUGUUUCCGGUCAAUAACUUUUGUUUCGGUAAAGAUAUUUUAAUAAAACUUGGUAUGUAUGUAGCUUAUAUCAAGACAAAGGCUGGGAUUGAUUUUGGGGUUUCUGGGGUCAAGGUCAAGGUCACUGUUACUUAAAAUAGAAAAAGGGUUUCCCGUCAAUAACUUUCGUUGCGGUAAAGGUAUUUGAAUAAAACUUGGUAUGUAUGUAGCUUAUAUCAAGACAAAGGCUGGGAUUGAUUUUGGGGUUUCUGGGGUCAAGGUCAAGGUCACUGUUACUUAAAAUAGAAAAAGGGUUUCCAGUCAAUAACUUAACUUAGGAAUGAGCUAUCAUGAUGAAACUUGGUGUAUAGAAAACUUAUAUAAAGUUGUAGCUUGGGAUUGAUUUUGGGGUUUCUGGGAUCAAGGUCAAGGUCAUUGUUACUAAAAAUAGGGUUAGGGUUAGCAUAUCUUCUACAUGCAUGGAGGGAUUUUGAUGAAUGUUGGCACAAUUGUUCACCAUCAUGAGACGGAGUGUCAUGCGCAAGAACCAGGUCCCUAGGUCUAAGGUCAAGGUCACACUUAGAGGUCAAAGGAUACAAGAAUGAAAACUUUGUCCGGAGCAUAUCUUCUUCAUGCAUAGAGGGAUUUUGAUGUAACUUGGCACAAUUAUACACCAUCAUGAGACGAAGUGUCUUGCGCAGUUCCCUUCUUUAGAAUUACUUCCCUUUGUUAUUACUAUAAAUAGCUGAUAUUGUAACUUUCAUUACUAGACGUAGGGAAAAAUAGAGACCACUUUUCUGUAGUACAACAUGCAUGUUACAUCCAAUUUUGAGGUGUAUUUUGACCAAUCUCUACCUGGUAAGGAUUUCUGUGUGGACUUAAAAUUUUUUUUUUUUUUUUUUUUUUUUUUUUUUUUAAGAUUAACUUCCCUUAGUUGUUACUAUAAAUAACUUAUAUUGUAACUUUUUUAUAAUUGACCAUAGGGAAAAACCAAGACCACUUUUCUGUGGUACAACAUAGUUGUUACUUUCUAAUUUUAGGUGUAUUUUAAGGUAUCUCUACCUGGUAAGGAGUUUUUUUGUGGACUUAGAAAAACAAAAGAAUUACAAUGAUUACUAAACAACCACAAAAUUAAAAUUACAUCUGCAAAUACAGGUGCUAGAGUAAAGAAAUUUGCUUUGACGGGUGUAUAUUGUGACAUUCUGGCACUCUUGUUUAUUCUUAUGAAAAGUGUUGAAAACCUGGUUUCGUGGCAUUGCCGUGUUUCUUGUUUAAAUUAUUCUGAUUAAUGGCCAUAAUGUAUUUGUGAAAAAAGACUGCAAGAGGUAAAACAUAAAAAAAAUUGUUCAAAGGCUACCUCAUCCUAAAUUAUUCCUUAUUUGAUUUUGAAAUAAUUCAACAGAAAUGUUCCUUGGGUGACAAAGCCAUUUGAAAAAAGAAUACAAACAAAAAUCUGUCUUUGAAAGGGCUUUUCAGUCCCUCCUUACAUGGUUCUAUUGAAAACAUUGAAAAUCUUCUCCUCAGAAUCUACGGGCCAGUUCUUAAAGUAAUUUGGCAGAAAUGUUCCUGAGUUAACUCUCUUCUAGUUACAGUGUUACCAAUUUGAGCUUUGCAACACAGGUGAGCGAUCAGUGACCAUCAGGGUCCUGUGGUUUUGCAAUACUGCCAUGUUGUUAAAUAGCUUUUAACAAAAUAAGACAAGUAUUAUGUAUUUGUCCUAUUCUUAAGCAAAAUAAAUCACCGUGUAAGAUUUUUAGCUCGACUAUUCGAAGAAUAGUCUAGCUAUUCUACUCACCCUGGCGUCGGCGUCGGCGUCGGCGUCACACCUUGGUUAAGUUUUUGCAUGCAAGUACAUACAGCCAUCAGUGAAAGGCAUAUAGCUUUGAAACUUAUUUCUUCUUUUUCUAGGUCAAUUACCAACCUCUCUGGGUCAAGUCCCAUAACUCUGACAUGUAUUUUGAGCAAAUUAUGCCCCCUUUUGGACUUAGAAAAUUUUGGUUAAAGUUUUACAUGCAAGUUACUAUCUCCAAAACUAAUGCAGAUAUUGAUUUGAAACUUCACAUGUGUCUUCGGGGUUAUAAAACUAGUUGAUAGCAGCAAGUCCCAUAACUCUGACUUUCAUUUUGGCCAAAUUAUGCCCCCUUUUGGACUUAGAAAAUUCUGGUUAAAGUUUUGCGUGCAAGUACAUACAACUAUUUCUAAAAGGCAUAUAGAUUUAAAACUUAUUUUUUCUUUUUCUAGAUCAAUUACCAACCUCACUGGGUCAAGUCCCAUAACUCUGACAUGUUAUUUGAGCAAAUUAUGCCCCCUUUUAGACUUAGAAAAUUUUGGUUAAAGUUUUACAUGCAAGUUACUAUCUCCAAAACUAAUGCAGAUAUUGAUUUGAAACUUCACAUGUGUCUUCGGGGUUAUAAAACUAGUUGAUAGCAGCAAGUCCCAUAACUCUGACUUUCAUUUUGGCCAAAUUAUGCCCCUUUUGGACAUAGAAAAUUCUGGUUAAAGUUUUGCGUGCAAGUACAUACAACUAUUUCUAAAAGGCAUAUAGAUUUAAAACUUAUUUUUUCUUUUUCUAGAUCAAUUACCAACCUCACUGGGUCAAGUCCCAUAACUCUGACAUGUUUUUUGAGCAAAUUAUGCCCCUUUUAGACUUAGAAAAUUUUGGUUAAAGUUUUACAUGCAAGUUAUUAUCUCCAAAAAUAAUGCAGAUAUUGAUUUGAAACUUCACAUGUGUCUUCGGGGUUAUAAAACUAGUUGAUAGGAUCAAGUCCCAUAACUCUGACUUUCAUUUUGGCCAAAUUAUGCCCCCUUUGGACUUAGAAAAUUCUGGUUGAAGUUUUGCGUGCAAGUACAUACAGCUAUUACUAAAAGGCAUAUAGAUUUGAAACUUAUUUUUUCUUUUUCUAGAUCAAUUACUAACCUCACUGGAUCAAG
Mercenaria mercenaria is the source of this 5669-nucleotide RNA transcript. RefSeq lists it as uncharacterized. The record is from RefSeq and is a predicted model, not a curated record. Lineage: Eukaryota; Metazoa; Mollusca; Bivalvia; Venerida; Veneridae. The transcript is spliced from 5 exons.